Molecule: ribosomal RNA, 253 nt
Filed under: uncultured bacterium
Lineage: Bacteria
Description: partial 16S ribosomal RNA
Rfam family: Bacterial small subunit ribosomal RNA
Source: RNAcentral
UACGUAGGGUGCAAGCGUUAAUCGGAAUUACUGGGCGUAAAGCGUGCGCAGGCGGUUUUGUAAGUCUGUCGUGAAAUCCCCGGGCUUAACCUGGGAAUGGCGAUGGAGACUGCAGGGCUAGAGUUUGGCAGAGGGGGGUAGAAUUCCACGUGUAGCAGUGAAAUGCGUAGAGAUGUGGAGGAACACCGAUGGCGAAGGCAGCCCCCUGGGUCAAAACUGACGCUCAUGCACGAAAGCGUGGGGAGCAAACAGG